RNAcentral lists this long non-coding RNA (2021 nucleotides) under Aquilegia coerulea. RNAcentral's name for it is "long non-coding RNA (ACOE_LNC000921)". Lineage: Eukaryota; Viridiplantae; Streptophyta; Magnoliopsida; Ranunculales; Ranunculaceae. The record is from RNAcentral.
CUUCUUGGCCGCAACCCCGCAACAGAGAACAAACCACCAUGAACAAACCACCAUUGAUUCUUCUUCCAUUAACAUCUAUUGAUUCUUCUUCCAUUAAUAUAUUGAUUCUUCUUCCAUUAACAUCUAUUGAUUCUUCUUCUUCUUAAAUCCACCAUUAACAUCUGUUAUUGCUGCUUCUACAAAACUUCAACUUGAUAAGGUAUGAUAAUCAUUCUUCUUCUUCUUCUUCUUAAAUCUACCAUUAACAUCUGUUGUUGCUGCUGUUUCAAUUAGAAAUCUUAAAAUCAUUCUCUUAAUUUAGUUAAGUUAAUCAAAAUCACUGUGUUUUAAUUUAGUUUCAUUCUUUUAAUUUAGAAAUUUCUUUUUAUUUAUUUUUGCGUUGAAUUCUUUGAUUUAAUUAAAUUACACUUGUUUAAUGAUCGAUAACGAGAGUUCUGAUUGAAAUCUUCUCUAUAUAAUCUGAUUUAAUUUAACAUCAAAAAUCUCCUCUAUAUAAUCUGAUUUAGUGAUCGAUAACGAGCGUAUCUAAUUCUUGAACACCGAUUUGUAGCAGUUCAGCUCCAUUACCAUGCCUAAUUGAUAGGACAUCUUGUUUAAAAGUCUUGCUUUCGGUUGGGUACAGAUUAGACACUUAGCUAAAAUCUCUGUAUUCUAACUUCUAAGAAAAAUGUAUCAUUCUCUUGCUUUUAUAUAUCAGGAAGACUUCUUUAGGUUGGAAACAACAUAAAUAAAUAUUAGGGGAAGAUGUUCUUUCAUUUUUAAAUCUACCCUUUCUACAUAUUCCUUCCUUUUUUUUUCCAGCAAAUGUUCAAUGAUAUAAUGUUGUUGUUAUUACAUAGCUUGCUAGUUUGUAUUGUCAGCAAAUUAGAAGAUUCACGCAUGUGUUGAGAGUUUUCCUUUUAUGUAUAUUUGUUUGACGUAAACUUCUGGUAUACUAACUCAUCAUAUUAGGCUAAUAGGCAUCAGGAUUCAACCCCACCUAUGUUAUUGAUUAAUCAAAUCUAGCCCACUAAUUUGACAUUUUGUUCACUAAAUAAAUUAACCUUACUGUACUAGGUGGGGUUCUAUAAAAUAAAACUGAACAAUCUUUUUUAUUUGAGUACUUCCGUAGAAGAGGUAAUACAACUCUACCUAUAAAAUGUCUACACUCAGUCACAUUUCAGUUUGCUCCUCUGUAAUUAGCCUGUCUGCACUGUUAGUUGUAUCUUGUAUAGUUGUAUGUAUGUAGGAAUUAGGAUUGAUUAUUAGCUACUACCUGGUGUUGCUUCAACUCUCAACAAUUAUAAUUUUUGAGAUACCAUACGUCCAUACCGUCAUCAUGCCCACUUAGUUCAGUUACUCCUCUGACCUCCUUUUGUUUUGUUUUGUUUUUUUAACAAAUUGUCUCAUGUGUUGUGCUAUGCUCUUAACUCUAUUAUUAACAAAUAUUAUAUAAUGCAGUUAAAUAUUACUCUACUAGUUAUUCACCAUUUGACCUCACCCCUUCAUUCAUUCAACAUACUGUACUGUGUUUUUGAAAAUUCAAAUCAACAUACAGAGGUCACAACACACUUCUCUUAAUUAAUUCUUCUUGUUUCCUAAUCAAGUAUCCUAGCAAUUUAGCUUACAGUAUUGUUGAACAUGGCCACUUGCUAACUUGUAACUUAUAUUUUUUGUCAGGCCUGUUUGAUUAUUUAGUAGAGAAAAUGGGAUCUAUAGAAACCAACUAAAUUCUUGUUGUUGAUGAUGGACUGGUUCAGAGAAGGUGAUCAUGGACUCAUGGUGUUGAAGUGAAGUUCUUUGUUGAACAAGCAUAGAUUAUGUUCUGAUCCCCUGAACAAGCAGAAUGUGCUUUAUAACUUUAAUUGUUUUUAACUUUUGUGAGGCUUUUAUUGUGUGAAAUUUUAUGUCGCAAAACCGCCUAAACGGUUUAAUUGGGACUAAACAGCUUUAAUUUGUAAUUUUAUUAUGUGAUUUAGUAAUUUUUAUGUCAUUAAACAGUUUCUGAACUUCUGAUUAUGCUUAAAUUUUGUGAACUGUUA